GACGGAGGGUGCAAGCGUUAUUCGGAUUUAUUGGGCGUAAAGGGAGUGUAGGCGGUCAGCCAAGUCUGAUGUGAAAGCCCGGGGCUUAACCUCGGAAGGGCGUUGGAAACUGGUUGACUUGAGCUCGGGAGAGGGAAGCGGAAUUCCGGGUGUAGAGGUGAAAUUCGUAGAUAUCCGGAGGAACACCGGUGGCGAAGGCGGCUUCCUGGACCGAAACUGACGCUGAGACUCGAAAGCGUGGGGAGCAAACAGG
This 253-nucleotide ribosomal RNA is filed under the name uncultured bacterium. RNAcentral describes it as "partial 16S ribosomal RNA". It matches the Rfam family "Bacterial small subunit ribosomal RNA", at positions 524 to 776 of the family's 1533-position model. The record is from RNAcentral.